GCUUUCGUGGUGUAACGGUAGCACACUCGGCGCGUAUUCCAGAGGUGCAGGUUCGAGUCCCGGCGAGGGCA
RNAcentral lists this transfer RNA (71 nucleotides) under Stegodyphus mimosarum. It matches the Rfam family "tRNA". From Rfam's summary of the family: Transfer RNA (tRNA) molecules are approximately 80 nucleotides in length. Their secondary structure includes four short double-helical elements and three loops (D, anti-codon, and T loops). Further hydrogen bonds mediate the characteristic L-shaped molecular structure. tRNAs have two regions of fundamental functional importance: the anti-codon, which is responsible for specific mRNA codon recognition, and the 3' end, to which the tRNAs corresponding amino acid is attached (by aminoacyl-tRNA synthetases). tRNAs cope with the degeneracy of the genetic code in two manners: having more than one tRNA (with a specific anti-codon) for a particular amino acid; and 'wobble' base-pairing, i.e. permitting non-standard base-pairing at the 3rd anti-codon position. Lineage: Eukaryota; Metazoa; Arthropoda; Arachnida; Araneae; Eresidae. The record is from Rfam by way of RNAcentral.